RNAcentral lists this small nucleolar RNA (100 nucleotides) under Xyrichtys novacula (pearly razorfish). It matches the Rfam family "Z30 small nucleolar RNA". Rfam says of the family: Z30 belongs to the C/D class of snoRNA which contain the C (UGAUGA) and D (CUGA) box motifs. The record is from RNAcentral. Lineage: Eukaryota; Metazoa; Chordata; Actinopteri; Labriformes; Labridae.
CUGCAGUGAUGAGUCUGAUAGAGACUGAUCUGGUAUUGAUUUCCCUCCGGGGAAAACUCUGACCAGGGAAUGAUCUCACUUUAAUCUUCUCUCUGAGCAG